Molecule: unclassified non-coding RNA, 389 nt
Filed under: Hevea brasiliensis (rubber tree)
Lineage: Eukaryota; Viridiplantae; Streptophyta; Magnoliopsida; Malpighiales; Euphorbiaceae
Source: RNAcentral
AAAUCCCACCAUAACUAAAGUUCCCAUGAAAAUUUUAGCAUAAGAUCUCUGCUAGCCAUUUCUAAAAACCAAUUUUAAGUUGGUAAUGACUGUCAACUUCUGUCAUUUUGGGAGCAUGAAACCAACUUGACAUAAAGCAAAUCAAUGGAAAUAUUCAGAAAGCAGCGGUGCAUGAUUGAAAGUAACAAAAUAAGCCAUGAACCAUAAAUAUCAACUUCAACUUAUACACAGCUAGUUUCUCCAUAUGGCAGAAAAUGCAAACAUUAUUUUAUAUUAAGAAGGAUAACUCAUGCAGAGAUGAAAAAGAAGUCCAAAUCAUUGAGAAAUAUAUGCUGAAGAACAAAAGUUACUAGCAAAGCAAACAUCUGGUCAAAAGAUCAGCAGACAAG